AGGUAAAAAUGCCUAUCUUGCUGC
This 24-nucleotide non-coding RNA is filed under the name Arabidopsis thaliana (thale cress). Lineage: Eukaryota; Viridiplantae; Streptophyta; Magnoliopsida; Brassicales; Brassicaceae. The record is from RNAcentral.